AGGUGAUUUGGGUGUUAAGCAAGAUUGCGUGAGACUGAUGUGUGAUAGUCAAAGUAAAAAGCAUUUGGAUAAGAAUCAAGUUUAUCAUGCUCGGACCAAGCAUAUUGAUGUAAGGUAUCAUUUUGUACGGGAUGUCGUAGAGGAAGGUCAUCUUUCUUUUACGAAGGUACAUACUGAUGAUAACCCGACUGACAUGUUAACCAAGGUUGUGUCAGGUAGCAAGUUCCAACACUGCUUGAACUUGCUAAACAUUAUUCCAUAUUCGUCCAAAAUUUGAAUGUUUCAAAUGAUGAACGAGGUGGAGAAUUUUGGGAAUAAGGGAAUAUUUAGCAAAGCUAAAUAUGAAAUAUUGAGUGUGGUAAAUGCAACAUACUCCAUUCAACAUAAUGAGUAAUAAUAGGAAGACAAAGUCUGAUAUUUGUAUGAAAUGUAGAUCACUCGCAUUAUAAUACAUAAGUUACUAUAUAAAUAUAAGCUUAUGUUUGUUGGAUAGAACAACAAGUAAUACGUAACAAAGUUAUUAGUUUUCCUUUAUAAUCAAUUCAAUCUUUCUUCUUUAGACAUUUAUAUCUCUUCAUACAAUUCAUUAUUUAUAUACUAUUUUCUUGUUCAACUUUAGUGAGGGUUGUAUUUCAUAAAUAAAUUAAUUUAUAGGUUUGACACCUAAGGCUUUUCAUGAGCAUGUUGGUCACAUGGGUCUUGGUUUUGAGAUUGUUUUAGUUAGUGGGAGUUUUUUUCCUUAAUUUUCUAUAUUUUAUACUUUGAUUUUGUUUUGGUACAAACUUUAUGUUAUGUUUAAUUUUUUGCAGAAAUAAAAACUUAUGAGGUACUAUUGUUAUAACAAUCUAUUUUUUUUAUUAUGGGCAAAUAUUGCGAUUUUGAAUUGCACCUAAGGAACGUCAGUUUGGUCUCACUAAAGACUUAAAUAGGACCAGUUGGAAAUAUGCAUGAUUUAGAUAUCAUAUUACAUGAAAUUUUCAUGUCACUCAUCCAUAUCGAUCUAUGUCACCAAAUACAUUGAUUUGGUGGUCGUCGGGAUUUCGUCACGUUACAUGUCAGUGACGACAGCCGCGAUGGUCCCACUAUUAAUAUAUGAUGUGGAUCAGAUUGUAAAGUUAAAAUCUAAGGAUAAAUAACAUUCGGAUGUGUGUCUAAAUGGUUAUGAUAUAAUUAUUAAGAUAUAUUGACCAAGUGGGAGAUUGCUGGAAUAUUUUAAUAAUUUAAUAUUAUAUUAAUAUUUUAAUAAUUAUGUGGUCAAAUAUAUUUAUUUAAUUAUAUUAGUUAUUUUAUCAAUUAAAUGCUUUAAGUAAUUAAGUGAUCAAAUAGAAUUAAAAGACUUAUCAGAUUUUAUUUUAAAUUUAUUUAUUUAAUUAAUUAUAUAUUGGAUAUGAGUUCAAAUAUUAGUCAAGGUUAGAAUGACCAAUUUGAAAAUAAUUAGUCCCCAAAAUUAUUUUAUCAACUCUUUAAUUUUAUACAUACUUUGAUUUCCGUGUCUAAAUUAUAUAUUAUAAUUUUUUGAACAUAUAUACCUAUCUAUUGUGCAUUAUUAAAAAUAUUGACUCUUAUUCUUGAGAAUUUUUCUUCCAUUAAAGUAUUUUCAUUCUUCAAAUAGAGUCGCGACUUAAAUAGGUGUUCAGUUAUUGACACAUAAUCAAUUUAGAAUCCUUGAAAAAUGAUGUUAUCAAGGUCAUCAUCUAAGUUGUGUUAGUUUUGAAAUUCCCCACGUCGCUUAACUUAGGUUUCUAAAGUUGUAAAAUUGCUUAACUUAGGUUUCUAAAGUUGUAAAAUUGAGGGGAAAAUGGUUUAUAAAAUAGUGACUAAAAAUUAAAAAAUAUUAAACUAAGAAAAUCAAAAUUCCAUUUAACUUAUAUGUUAUCAAAAAUAUUAAACAUCACAUAUUUUGAUUCUGCCUUCGCCUAGGGGUGAGUAGGUAGAUUAUAUAUAUAUAUAUAUAUAUAUAUAUAUAUAUAUAAUAUAUAUUAUAUAUAUAUAUAAUAUAUAUAUAUAUAUAUAUAUAUAUAUAUAUAUAUAUAUAUAUAUAAAAGCACAUGCAUUAGUAUGCAGACAUGUACUAGAAUAAGAGAAAAUACUAAAAUACCCUCUAACAAACUUAGGGGCUAAGGAAGAUAAUAUAAUUAAUAAAUAUGAAUUACUUCUAAUACCAUCCCUUAAUUCAUAUUCCAUCAAAACUUGUAACACCAAUUCCAUCCCUUAAUCUGAGGUGAAUAUCAGUCUUGAUAGCUUUCGUCAGAACAUCUGCCAACUGUUUCUGAGUGCUACAGUGUACAACUUCUAACACUCCCCUCUGCAACUUGAUGUCUCAGAAAAUGAUACUUGGUCUCAAUGUGCUUGCUUCUCCCAUGCAACACUGGGUUUCUGGCAAGAUUGAUUCAGACUUGUUGUCAAUCAUCAGCUUCAGAGGUUUGUUUACUUCAAUCUUUAGAUCCUGCAAUAAAUUCAGAAUCCACACAGCUUGGCAUGCCAGUAACAGCACCUGCAAUGUAUUCAGCUUCACAAGUUGACAACCCCCAACAGGUUGCUCUCUGGAACACAAGAAAUGGGACCUCCCAGAAAUUUGAAUAAGUACCCAGACGUACUUCUUCUGUCAACUCUGUCUCCACACCAAUCAGAAUCUGAAUACUCAGAAGUUCUGACUCAUCCUUUUUUCCAGAAGGAAAUAAUACUCCAUACUUCAGAGUUCCCUUGAUAUACCUCAGAAUCCUGACAGCAGCUUGGUAAUGGGACCACUUAGGUUUACUCAUGAACCUACUAACCAUCCCAACUGAAUAGCAAAUAUCAGGUCUGGUAUUGCAAAAAUACCUCAGAGAACCAACCAACUGUUUGAAGGUUGUACGUCCACAUCCUUUCCAUCAGAGUCAGAAUCCAGUUUCUGAUUUGUAUCAGAAGUGUGACAACAAUCUUAAAUUCUUCAGAUUAAUCUCUUCAGAAGUUCUAAUUCAUACUUGAGCUGAUGCAAAAUAAUACCUUUCUCAGAAUAUCUGAACUCCAUCCUAGAAAGUAUGUCAUUUUGCCGUAGAUCAGUCAUUUCGAAUUCAUUCAUCAGAACUUUCUUGAAUUUGGCUAUCUCCUGUUCAGAACUUCCAGUCAGCAGAUAUCAUCAACAUAUAAACAUACCAGAGUCAUAUUCCUUCAGAAGUAUGCUGAACAUAGACACCGUACUCCAUCUCACAUUUCUGAAAACCUUCCUUCUUGAAAAAUGAAUCAAUCUUCUGAUUCCAAGCUCUGGGCGCUUGUUUCAAUCCAUAUAGAGCUUUAGUAGAAUUUGUACACCAUCCCUUCCUGAUUCUUUUUCACAAAUCCAGGAGGUUGUGACACGUAAACUUCUUCUUCUAAUGGACCGUUCAGAAAUGCAUAUUUUACAUCUAAAUGCAUCGAGGCCAAUUCCUGUAGCAGCUAUUGCAAUCACCAUUCUGAUUGUUUCAUGUCUUGCUACAGGUGCAAACACUUCAGAGUAAUCCAGCCUAGGUUUCUGUAGAUAUCCUCUGGCUACCAACCUUGCUUUAUGUUUGCCAAUUGAACCAUCUGUGAUUUAACUUCUGUUUGAAAACCCAUCUGCACGCUGAUGGCUUUCUUGUCUUUUGGAAGUUCUGUGAGCUUCUCAAGUCUUGUUUCUCUCUAUAGCAUCAAGUUCUUCUUUCAUGGCCUUCAGCCAGAGCUUUCCGCUUUAGAGCUCUUCUGCAUACUUAUGGGUUCAGAGUCUACUAACAUGGCCAUACUGAAUAACUUCUCCUUCAGAGUCUACUUCAGUGUCUUGCAGCAUGUCAAGUUCUGCAUAAUCUUCUGGGGAAUGUUUUCUGAUUCUUUGUGUUCUCUGAACUUGUUCAGAGUCAUUGAGCUUCAGAGUUUCUACCUUCAGAUGCCGUUGACUUCCUCCAGAGCGAGUUACCUGACCAUCUUUCAGGACUCUGGCAUAUUUCCACCCCCCUGAGUCUGCAAUUGCCACUCAGAGUCUGAGUUACCAUCAGAGUCUGGACGUCAUCAGAGCGUCAUCAGAGCUCACCUUAUCUUCUGCAGUCUUUCUCCAGAGUCAGAAUCACUAUCAGAAUCAGAAUCAACAUCUUCAGAAAUUUCUUAACUCUGACCUUGCUUCAGAGGUUCUAACAUCAGAAUCAGAUUGAGACUUAUUAUCCAAUUCCAAACUUCUGAUUCCUUCACAAUCACAUCUCUGCUGAAUUCAAUUUUAUUGGUUUCUGCGACAAUAAGCUUGUAUGCACCUGUACUGUGGUACCCUAUCAGAAUCAUCACUUUGCUUCUAUCAUCCAGCUUCUUGUCUUCUGGCUUCUGGAACAUGUUUAUAGCAAAACAGAAGCCAAACACCUUCAGAUGACUAACACUUUGCUUAUCCCCAGUCCACUUCUGUAUUGAAACUAUUUCCUUCAACUUCUUCGCUAGGACAUCGGUAAGUACAUACGUAUGCGAAGUCAGGCUAGGCAACAGCUUCUCCCCAGAGCUUCUGUGAGGAUGGGAGCUUCUCUUCUCCUUUUUAGCAAUGCUUUCUCACCAGUAUCAAGGCUCAAAUGCUGCGGUUUCUUCUCACUCUUCACCCAUUAGACCAUUCGCCCUGUUUGAGGGCGCUUAUAAGGCCAUAGUAACCUCCAUGCUCUAAUUCCCAUUCUACCUCACAAGAAACUUCUGCCGAACUCUUUAUAGAGUUACUGCACCUCCACCGUCAAUUCUAGAAUCUUCAACUAUCUGCACCACUCUGAUUCUCAGCCUUCAUUCUGAACUUCUUGAAAUUCAUCAAACACCUCGUGAUUUAAACUUAAUAAGAUACCCAUGUCAUAUUCUGAUGCAAUUCAUCAACAAAAAUAAACAGAAAGUAUUAUUCCCAUCCAACGAUGCUUACUGGAAAUUGGACCACACACAUCAGAAUGUACAACCCAAGGCAUGUUUGCUCUUGGAGCAGUUUCUGACGCAUGGCAACGUUGGUUGUUUUCCUUCCAUGCAAACUUUGCAUAGACUAUUCAGGCUUCUUAAUUGCAGAAUUCCACUGCUACCAACUUCUUUGAAUUCAGAUGCUUGUUAAGCUUCUAAAUUCAAAUGACCAAAUACUUCCUGUGCCCACAGCUCACUCUCCUUUCUCAGCACUUGCUUGCACUAGACAUUCUGGUGCUGCAGUUCGACAGUUCUUGACUGGUUCUUUGGAAUGCUUCUAUUCCUUCCCUGUUCUGACUCCAUAAUCAACUCUCUGAUUGCAGUCAUACAGCUUUUCAGAAGAUUGUCCUUCAUGGUAACUGAAAACCUUUCUCAAUUAAUGUCCCACACCUCAUCAGAUUGCUUCUGAUGCCCAGGUACAUUACCACACGUUCUGAAUCAAUUGUUGUUUUCCCAUUAGUUCAGAAUCACUCUGACAUUCCCAUACCUUCUGCAUUAAGAUAUUUGUCAUCAGCACAUCAUUGAUCUUUGUCCUCUUUUCAGAGUCAAAGUCAACCAGCCCAUUUCUUGUUUCCAAUAAGAUGAUUUGAACACCCAGUGUCCAUAUUACACAGAUCUAUCAGAUCCAAAUCAUCAGAUUCAGAGGCCAUCAAUAGCACAGAUUCGUCAUCAGAACUUCUGGCUAUAUUUGCUUAUUCUAUUUCUCUCCUUGUUUGACCAACAGUCUCUAGCAAAGUGACCAAACUUCUUACACCAGUAACAUUGGAUCUUUUCCUUGUCAUACUUCUCUUUUCCCUUCUGAGCAUUCUUUUGUCUAUCAGAGGUUGAGCUUUCUGACUUCUGACCACCAUCAGAUCUUCUCCUGGCUUUGACUGCUUCUGAUACCUACCUAUCAGAAGUUAGCUUUCAGAGCCUGCUGCUCUACUUCCCUUCAGAAGUUCUUUCAGUCAAACGCAACUCUUGCGUUCUAGACUGCUCUGCAGCUCUUCAAUUCUCAUGGUGCUCAGAUCUUUGGAAUGUUCUAUUGCUACCACAAUGUAAUCAAAUUGAGAGGUAAGGAUCUCAAUACCUUCUCCAUGAUUGUUUCUUCAGACAGAGUUAUCUCCACACGCUUCAUCUAAUUAGUGAUCAGAAUCACUCUGGAGAUGUAUUCAGAACUUUCUCAUUAUUCUUCAUGUUGAGAUUCUCAUAUUGCUUUCUCAAGGACUGAAGCCUUCACCUUCUUCACUCAUGCGUUACACACCAUAACAUCUAACCAUGUGUCCCACGCAGCCUUUGCUGUCGUUGAAUCUGCAAUCUUCUCAAACACAUUUACAUCAACACAUGUUGAUGAAUGAGACACAAUGUUUUCUGAUCCUUCUUCCUUACUUCCUUCUGCGCCGUUUUUCUGUUCAUACCGUCGCAUCUGCUGCUACCGAACAUAACAUCCGACAGAAUCUAGAACAUCUUGAGCCACCGAACAGUACACGCCCCAUUUGGAUCAUCCAACGAUUCCAAUUUUUACCGUCACAAUACUGGAAGUUUGGUGUCAUUUGCCCCGUUUUCGUUCAUCUUCUACCUUGCACAGUACACUCAGAUUUCUCACACAGUGUUCCCAACCCACAGAAUUUAAAAUUCUGAUCAGAUUUGUUCAAGAUUCAACACGAAUCUAAGAAUCAAAAUCAAACACACAAGACCUCACGUUCACUCGUGUUUCCCGUGUUCCCAAUGAAUCCGAACGGAGCUCUAGAUACCAAUGUGUGUGGUGCAAAGGUAGAAUGAAAGAUGAAUAUUCUAUUCAGAGAAUGACGGCUACAAACAUGAUAAAAGUUACAAUGAUUGUCACCCUAUUUAUAAGCUAAAACUAGGGUUACUAGAAUAAGAAAAAAUACUAAAAUACCCUCUAACAAACUUAGGGGCUAAGAAAAUAAUAUAAUUAAUAAAUAUGAAUUACUUCUAAUAAUUUUAAACAUCUUAAAGUCCUUCACAUAUACUUGAAGGAAGUUUAGAAACAAACUUUAUUUAUUCUCCAUAUUUAUCAUGAAAAAAUUUAUCUAAUUAAAAGAUCAAUUUUAAAAGAGUAAUAAAAUCAAAAAAAUAUUGGUGAGUUCUUAUCUAUUCCCAACUCAAAAAGUUACGACAAACAAUUAUAUUAUUUAAUAAAUGAUUAAAUAUAUAAAAUUAAAUAAUAUCAUAUGAUAGAUUGAAGGGUAUACUAUUAAAUUUUUUAUGAUGAGUAAAGUUGAAGGGUAUACUAUUAAACAAUUAUGAACAAAGAUGGAAGACAAUAAAAACAAGAGGUAAAUUAAGAAAACGUACUAGAGAAUGGGAGGGUGAUCUGUACUGGUAAAAAAUGUAUACUCAUUUCAUACAAAGGUUACAAUGGGUCUGAAAUGAAAAAUAUUUCAUCCAACGAUGGAUAAUGGUCCCUGUUGUUCGUCCACAUCCUAUCAUAAAUAUAAAAGUUACCUUUGGUUGAUCUAAUAUCAGAAAGCUUCAUCAUCAGUUAGAAACUCAGUGAUGCCAUGGAUGCACCCCUAAGGCAUAUCCCAAAGUCACUAGCCUCUUAGCAAACCAUUGUAAGCAGAAAAAUUCAUUAUCAAUAGUAUGAAAUUAUAUAACAUCAACACUUAAUUAUUGAAGACAUGAUUUGAAAAUAAGAGUUUCUGUUUUUGUUUCCUUAAAUCGGAAUUUUGAAAAGAUGAGUGAUUGGAUAUUUCUCAGUAUCUUACGCUCCCGUUUAAUCCUCUCAAAAGGAUAAGUUAUGAAACCGUCAGCUUUAUUUUUGAUUCAAUAAUUACAUAGUGGACCUAACCACAUAAUAAAUAACUUUAGUUCCUACCUAUUAUCGCAAGGGUUAAGACUUACACUUUUGCUACACCAAACAGAUUUUAGACACUGAUAAUUUAAUUUAAAAAAUCACUUAGCCAAUAAAGGAGUCUACUUAUGUAUCCACAUCUGAAUCAUGAUUAACCUAUUUUCACAAACCAAAAUAACAAUUGAUUGUAGCCCAUAAAAUAUUAGAUAAAUCUAUCAUUCUCCCACUUGGGCAAAAUCAAUUGUGCGAUUUUAAUAUUAUAAAAACAUAUAUUUGAAAACAACUCUCGGAUUAAUGACUAAUUUCUUAAAAUGUGACCGCAUUUUAAGAAAAUGCAUUAUUUCAGGUGCAGUAUCUGAAUAUGACUCCGUCCAACAAAAGUCAAGCAGUAUCGAAUCAUGGCGAUUAUUAUAUCCUUCAUUGACAUAUAGCCUUCCAUGGUUACAAAUACUACGAACUCCGUCAACUAGUCAUCAAUGUGGAGUGUGGCAAAAAUAUAGUAUGCAAAUAUGAUCCAACAGCCAAGCUGUUAUUUUCUUUGUCAGUCCUUAACAAUUUCUCUCAAAUUCCUUAAAGCCAAAGAAAACGCAUGGUUUUACAAACCACAAUGCAUCAGCUUCAAUAUGGCAUCAACCACUGGUAUAAUGGUCAUGAUGAUGCCGAGCCCAAAAUUAUAAUCAUGCCAUGAACCCCAAAAUUGUGGUCCUAAUGAAACUGAGUCCCAAUUGACAUAUAAAUAAACAAUAAAAAAUAAUUAUAAUACCCAUUGCAUUAUCAAUUGCUCAAAAUAGAAAAAUACUUGACAUUAUAAACACUUAAAGUGUCCAAAAUAAAAUUCAACAUGAUAAAGAAAAUGUCAUAAAGAAUAAACUCCCACUAACCAAGUACAUCAAAAUAACUCACAAUAUCCUUGUUCUCGGCAUGAUUUUUUAACAUAAUGGGUCUAAGUCCCUAGGUUAGAGAAUCAACAAACAUGAAAUCAGUACUAAUAUACUCAACAAUAAUGAUAUUUUUCUUUACAAGAUCUCUAACUGUUAAAUACUUCAAUUUCAAAUGCUUAGAACCGCAUAAGUUUUAUUAUUCUUAGAGUAAAACAGAGAUGCAUUGUUAUCACAAUAAAGAUUUAGUGGCCUAGCAAUGAAAUUACCAAUACGAAAUCCAAUUACUAAAUUUCUCAACCAAACAGCAUGAGUGGCAACAACAUAACAAGCAAUAAACUUUGUCUGCAUAGUAGAAGAGGCGACAAGAGUUUUCUUUUUACUCUUCUAGGAUAUCGCAUCUCCAGCCAAUAUAAAAAUAUAACCAAAAGUAGAUUUCCUACCAUCAACACUCCCAAAAUGAUCAGAGUCAGCAUACCCAACUAUUUCCAAGUUGUCAACUCUCCUAAAAACAAGCAUAUACUCUUUAGUUCUCUGCAAAUAUCUCAUAACUUUCUUACUAGCAAUCCAAUGAUCAUUCCCAAGAUUGGACUAGUAUCAUCCCAAGAUGUCAACUAUGAAGGUAAUGUCAAGCCUAAUGCAUACUUGAGCAUACAUCAAGUUGCCCAAUGCAUUGUCAAAGAGUUUUCCCUUCAUUUCUGCCCGCUCAGUCUCAUUUUUAGGACAUUGAUUUUUACUGAACUUGUCACCUUUAGUAACUGGAACAUCCCCUAGCUUACAAUACUGCAUAUUGAACCUCUCUAAGACUCUACCGAUAUAAGCCUUCUAGAACAAGCCAAUUAAACCACAUGAUUUGUCUUUGUGUAUUUCAAUUUCCAACACAAAGGAUGUCUCGUCGAGAUCUUUCAUAUUAAAGAAUAUGGAUAGCAUAAGUUUGGUUUCAUGAAGUAGACCAGGAUCAAUACUGAUAAGUAAAACAUCAUCAACAUAUAACAAAAGAAAGAUGAAUUCUCCCACUGACCUUAAGAUAUAUGCACUAAUCAACUUUAUUUUCUUCAAAAUCCAAGGAAGUUACCACCUUAUCAAAUUUUAAGUACCAUUGUCUGGAAGUCUGUUUCAAACCAUAAAUAUAUUUUCUCAAUUUACAAACCAAAUGCUCAUUACCACUUGUCACAAAACCCCCAGAUUGUUGCAUGUACACCUCCUCAUUUAUAUCACUAUUCAGAAAAGCAGUCUUAACAUCCAUUUGAUGCAACUCCAACUCAAAAUGUGCUAUAAUAGCCAUAAUGAUUCUAAAAAAGUGUUUAGUGGAAACAGGAGAAAAUGUUUCAUUAAAAUCAAUCUCGUCCUUUUGUUUGAAUCCCUUGGCCACAAGUAUUGCCUUAAACCUCUCAAAUUUACCUUUUGAGUCCUUCUUUGUUUUGAAUAUUCACUUGUAGCCAACUUCCUUAUAGUUUUCUAGUAACUCCACUGGUUUCUAGACAUCAUUAUUUACCAUGGAUUUUAUUUCAUCAUGCAUUGCAUAUGUCCACAUGCUAUAUUGAGAACAAGUAAUAACUUCUAGAUAAUUUUUAGGAUCAAUAAUAACACUAACAUCAUAAGCACCCUCACUAAGAUAAACUAUAAAAUCAAUAGUGAUAGCAGGUCGCUUUUGUCUUACUGGCCUUCUAACAUGAGUUUGCUCAACUAGCUCAGCAGGUUGUGCAACCUCAGCCACAACAGGAGUAUCAACUACAUUCUUAACAAGUGGUUCAACCAUAUUUUCAACUGGAUGUUCAGCCACAUUCUCAUUUGGAGCAAAACCUCCACAAGUAGUGGAUGAGCUAGCAUAAUCAAAAUUAGGAAGUGGUAGAGUAACAAAGUCAGGAACAACAAAAUCAAUUAUAUCCUUAAGAGUGUGAUUUCUCCUUUCGGCUACACCGUUUUGCUUAAGAGUACCAGGCAUGGUGUAUUAUCUAACAAUUCCAUAAUCCUGCGGGUAUUUUGCAAAAUGCCACAUAUGUUGCCCAGUAGAAUCAUAUCUACCCUAAUACUCUCCAUCACAGUCAGAACGCACAACCUUUAUCACCUUUCCUAGUUGCUUUUCAACCUCAGUUUUAAAGAUUUUAAACUUUUCAAGUGCUUCUAAGUUUUCCAUAAUCAAGUAAAGAUAUUCAAACCGGUAAAAAUCAUCAAUGAAAAUGAUAAAAUAUUUUUUGCCACAAACAGUAGGAGAAAGGGGUCCGUUAAUAUUUGUAUGAAUAAUUUCCAAAAGGUCUGAACUUCUAGUUGAAAUUUUCUUAUUGGUCUCAGUAAAUUUUCCUCUAAUACAAUCCACACAAGUCUCCAAAUCAUUUAAAUAUAAGGAAGAUAAAAUAUCAUAUCUAAAUAACCUUUCAACUUUUCCUUAGAGAUAUAGCCUAAACGUUUGUGCCACGACAAGGAGGAUUAUUCUCUAAUUCGAGACCUUCUAGCAAUAGAGCUCUCAACAUUCAAGGAUGAGGAAGUUUUAUCACAAUCCAAAGAGUACUUAUAUAAACCAUCCAAUAAGAUACCAUUACUAACAACUUGAGAAUUCAACAUUAAUUUUUUUCCAUCAUAAAAGGUAAACUGAAAUCAAAGUUUAUCCAAACAAGAUACAUAAAUCAAAUUCCUCCUAAAAGAAGGUACAUAAAAUGUAUCUUUCAAAACCAAUUCCUAGAACUAAGCUGACAUCUCCCACUAGCUCCACAAUGACUUCAAGAUCAUUUCCUACCCUGGGCUUGCUUUCCCUCAAAUUUGGUCUCUGUUGGUUUCUGAACCCCUUCAGCUUUAUUCUUAUUGUCUAAACAAGCUUUAAAAGCAUGAAAAUCAGGUUUCUUAUGCCCCUUUUCCUUACACCAAAAGGAUUUCUUAAAAGCAAAUGGCUUAUGACCUCAUAUGUUGUGGUGUUAGCCGUUAUCUAGUUUCCUAAACUCAAGAUGUCUAUGAGAAACACUGUGGGUAUUUUUCUUAUUUUUCCAAGAAUUCUUACCAGAAUGGGGUUUAGCAUGAACAGUUAAAAGGGCUUAAUCAUUUCUUUCCUUCUUGAAUUUCUCUUUUUCAUCUACAUACUUGGUAAUAAGGUUAUUGGCGGUCCACUUAUCAUCCAAGGUAUUAUAGGAAGUUUUAAUUUAAGAGAACUCAGUAAGUAGGCAGUUUAAGGCAUAUGACACAAUGAAAUUCUCACUCAUGUUAAUGUUAUGGGUUUUCAGUUAGGUUUGGACAUGAACCACCCUAAGAAUGAACUUCCUGACACCCUCAUUGUUAUCAUAUUUCAUGGAUAUGAGUUGUUUCAUUAAAUAUAUAGAUUCAGCAUUAUUAGAUACAUGAUACCUCUCCCUAAUAGCAGUGGGAUAUUCUUUAGCUUUCUCUUUCUCAGGAAAUAUGUUGAUUAGAUGUUCAUAAAUGGUUCACUUAAUAGCACACAAGUUAAGUCGAUUUCCUCUCCUACUUGGCUAAUUUUUCUUUCUCUUCAGGUGUACUGUAAGCAUUGAUCAUAGGAAUAGUUUCAUGCAAUUCCAUGUCAAGGUCAGUAAUACCUAAUGAAAACUUUGUCUUUCUUCCAUUUCUUAAAAUUAGACCUAUUUAGGAUCUCAAUAGAAACAGAAUAGUUGUUCAUAUAGAAGGUCAUUGUUGAGACUGUAAGAAUAAGUUUGGUUAUGCAUCUACAUGCAUUUAAGUUUUGAUCAUAACAAAGAGUAGAAGAAGAAUUUUAUACACUAACUGUUUGGUUAAGUGCGCAGAAACUCAAAGUCUAAAACAGAAUCUAAAUGAAAAGAGCAAAUGUCGAGUGAAGCAGAUUCUGAUCAAGAAGACUGUGAGAAAGCAAAUCUUAUCAAUGCAAAAUCAAGCAAUUAUAAAACUAUGAAGAGCAAACCAAGAUUCAAUACAAAGAAGAAAUUAAUUUGAACAAAGCUCAAACAAAAAUAUAAUAAUAGAUUCUGAAGUAAAGCAGACUCUGAUCAAAGACGCUUGUAAAGCUAAAUUUGAAAAAACUGAAGUCUAAUGGAAAGCAAACAUCAAAUUAAAGCAAAGUCUAAGGCAAUGUCUGAAUGUCAUCAAAUUAUAAAAGUUAUGCUCUUAAGAAAGUUAUACCAUUGAAGAAAGAAGAACAAGGAAGAUUGUGUGUCAAACAAGACUCUCAUCAAAGUUGCUUAUUAAACAAAACUCCAAACAAUGCAGAAUCUAACGUGAACUCUGAAUAAUGUAGCAUCUAGACUCUGAUGUCUACAUCUUCAAAGGAUUUGAACUCAAACCAAGCUUUAAAUCUCUUUUCAAAUAUGAAGCCAAUGAACUAGACAAAUAUAAUAGAAGGAAUAUUCAUAAAAGUAAUACAUUGAAAGCAGCAAAAUCAAUUAUUUAUUGGAACAAAUUCCUGAUAUUCGAAAAAGAAUUAUUUUAUGAAGGAAAAUUGCGAUCCAAAACGCAGCAGAAAUUAUUUUUUUUUCCUUUAGUGAUCCUUACAAAUGAGCAUGAUCAGUGAUAUAAACGGUUACCUCUUGUGGCGAUUGAAACCUUUGAUGCAGGUCUAAGGAGUGAUCACGAGCGUUGAAUGGUGACAACGCCUCUACUCAGUCUACACAAACGAAUUCCUUCAGUCUCAGUGUUAGCUGCUACAAUUGAAGACUUUGAGUGAGUGAGUGAGUGAGAGAGAGAGAGAGAGAGAGAAAGAGAGAGAGAGAGAAAUGAAAUUUCAUCUAGUGAAAUGCUUCUGCACAAGGGUUUUAUUUAUAGAACCACUUGUGUAGGCUGCAAGCUAAAAAGUCCACUUAAGUGUAUGUGGCCCAUAUCUUAUGGUAUACCGAAAAUCACUUAAGUGUGUGGUACCUUACCACAUUUCUUAUUCUACUUAAGUGCAUUGUACCUUACGAUGUUCUACAAUUCACUUAAGUGCAUCGUACCUUACGGUGCUCCUUAUUUACUCUAUCUCUCUCAAUCCUUCCUUUUGUGUGUGACCUUGUAGGUUUUCAUGACAUUGGCAAUUAUAUUAAAUCAUGUAUUUAACAUAAUAAAUAGUUAGCGGUAUCUAGCAACACAUCACUAUUACCCAAAACACGAAAAUGUCAUGUGAUCUGACAAAUCCUUUUGUGAUAAUACAUGUGUGUACAAUUACCCUUUUGCCCUUAUGUCUAUAUUGAACACAAGGCAUAGAACGUGUCAUCCUUAUACAAUUCAAUAUUGGGCCCUUAUACAUUUAUCAUGUUACGCAGGAUGGGAAAAUUCCAUCUAGGUCCCUCAUGUCCCUCAGCAUGCUUCGUGGAGUACCUAUCAAUUGUCUUUAUGGUCAUCCAGUUACGGACAAUAUUUGAUCAGCAAUAAAGCACUCGACUUUACAUUUAAGGUCCAUAGUGGUUUCGGGUCGAAGGGUGGUAUACACCAUUAUCACCAUGAGAAUAACUUAUGACACUUUGCAUAAUAUUUUAUGUAGUAUUCUCAUAGCGGGUUAAUCCAGUAUAAAUAUUACUCUUAAUAUUCAUACCUAUGUUUAAGACUUGAUAACUCAUUAUCCAUGAUCCAUGAGAUGUGAUUAUCAGUCUAUAUACAUAAUAGUCUUAAUGCUUUAAUAUUAUCCCACUUCUCAAUAAAGCUCGACUACGGAUACUUUAAGAAUAGCGUCCUUAUGUUUAAUGGGAUCUCAUGAUCAAGUCACACUUGAUACAUUAAACAGACUAGCUAUUCUAGGAACUUUAUUAAACAAACAUAAUAAAGAAAAAGCUUUUUAUAAAUAAUUCGAUACAAGUACCAAAAGUAUUGGCCUCUAUGGCUUGUACCAACAUUAUAUUCUUUUGUCUUGUCUCACGUCACAUCAUCUCACGCAUGUUAUUGUUGUAACAAUGGGUGUCUUGAUACAACUGUGAUUGUGACCAUAUUUCUACUUCACUACCAACGAAUCUAUUCUUCACCCUCAACGGUAACAUUCUCUAUCUAUUUAAAGAUGACUUGAAAGAUUGAAAAAUCAUGAGAUAGUUGUAAAGAAAGAGUAUGACACUAAGGGCGGAAGAACACUAGAGAUAAGUGAGAGAAAAGAAAGUGUUCUCAAACAAUAAAAAGGCACUUAGAGUGAUUUCAACCAUGGGUAGACAUAAGAUGUGUUCUCAAUCCAUAAACACAAUUGAGAAACAUAUUACACUUAUCUGGAGCUGCAAAAUAUAGAGACACAAGAAGUAAUCUCAAACAUCAAAAGAUCAAUUGUAAAAGCACAACAAGAAGAACAUUUGUGCAAAAGCAAGAGAUAAGAUAAGCAAGCACUUAGAGGUAAACAUUUUACAUCUCGCUUAAGUGUAAAUUAUGAUUGUUAAUUUUUGUAAUCUGGUUAAUAAAGAAGCACACUUGCAAACACAAAUUUGUUAUAACCAUGUUUGGUUAUAUUUUUCAAGAGACCAUGUUGGUCAGAUUCUUAAAAGGGCAAUGACAGUAUGUCAUUGAAGUUGUACUCCUCAAGUGACUAGUUGGUUAGGUUCUUCAUAGGACUUUGACAGAUUGUCAAAGAGCAAUAACUCCUUAAAGGACCGGGUAGGUCUGAACUCUUAAAGAGUCAAUGACCUUCAUACUUUUUAGGGAAUUGGGUUGGUCAUAAUUCUUAAGAAAUCACUGACAGGUUGUCCUUGUUUUAUAAUCAGAUUGAUUAUUGGAUUAAGUCAUUUUUUAAGACAAAAUCACUCAAGUGAGUGGACUAGAGGUAGCCUAAUUAAUGGUGAAUCAGGAUAAAAAUAUUUGUCUCUUUUAUCAUUGUCCUUAUAAUUGUUGUUGUUACUCUUAUAUUUGUUUUUGGUUACAAAAUUAUGUCUUAUUUGAACCCAAUUCAAUCCCCCUUCUUGUGUUUCUUGCAACUUCAAUUGGUAUCAGAGUCUGAUUCUGGUAUUGACUAGAUUGUGUCAAACACUUAAUCGUGUAAGAAAAAGAUCCAUUUUUCGAAACACAUUAAGACAACACAAGCAACAAUGAUAAAAGAUCGUUAAUCAUCCAGAUUCACACAUUACUCAAAUGUUGAUGAUGUAAUUUGAAACGAGAUGAAUGAACAGCUUUGGAAGAGCAUGCUAGUUCUCUGAGUAGUCAUGAGAUCAAGCUUGAAGAAGACUCUGGUAAUGAGGAUGAAUUGUGAUUAUCAUCCAGAAGCAUCAACCGGUUGUAGAAGCAUAGUCAAAUCAACUUCGGAGGCUAAAGAAGAACAGGUGGACUUUGUGAAGUCAACCUCUGAGUAUAAGAUGUUUGAAACUGACAAGAAGGUCAUCUAUCUUACGUACAAGGAGCCAUGACACUACAAAUAGAGUGUCUCAAAUUCAACAAAGAAAAGCAUAGAAGGAAUUCAUCAAAGAUAAGAGAAAAAGUUUUGAUGAAUACAUAGAACAACUCUAAAGAAGAUUUUGAAUAAAGAACAAGUCAACAUGAAGCUCAUGACAAGCACAAAAGCAUCUGACUUCUCAGAAGAAGAAUCUAAAAGAAACACAAGAGCACUUAGCACCCAUAGACAGCAACUGAAGCCUUAGAAUGAGAAUCAGACUCAGAUGCCGAAAAUGUACUCUCAAUUAAUUUUCUUCAUUUAAAAUUCUUGAAAAGAAUUAGAAACUUCAAAAAAGCCUCUUAAAACUUAUAGAUAGAUUGAUAGCUUUUCUAAAGCCUAUAGUGAACUAAUAAAAUAAAACUCUAGUUUAAUAAGAUCAAAAUUAUUUCCGCUCUCAGAAGCUAAAAUGAUAAUCAAGAGAAAGAAAUUCUUUUAGGAGCUCUUAUAGACUCAAAUGAUAAUCUAAGAGAAAGAAAUUCUUUUAGGAGCUCUUAUAGACUCUAACUUAGCUAAGAAUUUAAAUAUAAACAAAUUGAUCUUUUAAAAACUAAUUAAAAUUAGUGACCGGAUCUUCCUCUAUAUCUAGAACUCUCUUUCAUAACUCUCAAUAGGACAAGUUAUGAAGUCGUCAAUUCUACUUCUGAUUCAAUAGUUACAUAGGAAAGGUUAGGACCAACACUUGUACUCACACCAAUAAAAGACCCUACUUAUACACCCCAUUAAAAUCAUGAUUAACUCAUUUUCACAAAUUAAAAAUAACAAUUAAUCACAGCCCACAAAAUUCAAACCCUUCAAAGAGACAACAAUAUUGCGAGUCUAAUCAUAAAUGUGAUUGGAAUCAAAGAACCAUUAUCCCCCUACAUUAGUGUUCAGUGACAACUGUCCUAAUGGUUGGAGUCCAAGUAAGCGCAAGUAACCUAUAUGGUUUUAAAUCCGGCACCCAAAAUUCUUACUUAAUCAUCAGACGGUCUGAGUACAGAACCCUCAAGUGGAGCACCAACCAGUUCUCUCCCCAUCGCAACCUAACCAAAUCUCAAGCAGCUCACCUAAGACCGAAUAAGGGUAAUAAACAAUUAGUUGAUUGAAAAACACAAUAACUACUACUAUAGAAAUAGAACUAACAACACAUUAGAAAUGAAAAACUUUUCCCCGAUGUAUAACGAAAUACUAUAGCUAUUGAGGAUUAAAGUGAUUUUAAUUUAAACUUUUAGCCAGCUUGAACAACAGUGUGCCACUGAAAAUGUCAAUAAAAAUAGAAAUAAACUACAUUGUAAUUGUGUCUAAAUAAUAAAAACAGAUGCAGGACAGCAUACAACAUAUUGAACAAUGGAUACAAUAUAAUCCCAAAACUCGGAAGCCAUUCAAAUUCCCUUUACUUCCUUACAAUUGAAAGAAUAUCUUUCAUUAAAUAUUCAUUGUCAAAAUAUUCAAAUUGAUGACAAGCUAACUAAUCCAUCCCUAGUAGGCAGGCAAUAGAUCAUUUGCAUUUAUGCCUCCAAAUCGUCCCAAAACUUCAUCAAUUAGGCACUGCAGUAAACAAAAAAGAUGUUGGUUAGAUUUAUGACCAAGAUUCACACUUACGAAAAUAUUAAUGAAUGCUUCAGCUUCAUGUCUAAAAGUGUAAAGUAUUAUAUGCUAACAUCAUACUUGCAGUUCUAAUGAACUUUAUUAUAUGUCAAACAUCACACUUAGGAAAAAUACUAAUCAACUCAAUUUUUUCUGCUUCUGUUUCAUGUCAAAAAGUAUUAUACGCUAAAAUCAUACUUGCAGUUCUAAUCAAUUAUUAUACUCUAACAUCAUACUUCCAGUUCUGAUAAACUUUGUGCGUCCACUGUAACAAUUUAGGUCAUUAAGUACUAAGCAAAGUAAAAAUCAUCUUACUGUAUGUGGAGGUGUCAAUUUGUUCAGGAAGCUCUUUUAUAUCAACCUCGAACCUAGAUUGCACCUGAAGUCAUCAUAGUUUAGAUAUUUGUUAAUCAAAGCAUUGUUGGUCAAAAGGGCCCCUUUCCUCUCCACUUUCUCAAUUGGAGUGAAAACAUUAAACCUUAAAUCACCAUGAAAGUCGACUUCACUAACCUGAUUAAGAACUUCAGAGUCACCAGCAGAAGACACAAAGGUAAUUGCAAGCCCCUUGGUGCCAAAUCUACCAGCUCUUCCAACCUAGCAAUUCACAUGUUGAUAAAGCAUAUAAAGAUAGAAGGAACAAAGAUCAUCUAUAAGCCAUAAACCCAAAACAAUGUUCAAAGUUACAUUAAAUCUUAAAAAAUUCAUUUGAUCAAACCACUUACCCUGUGAAGAUAGGUGUCAGCAGAAUCAGGCAUGUCAUAGUUGAUGACUAUAUUAACACGUUCUAUAUCAAUCCCCCUUCCUACUAAAUCUGUUGCCACAAGAAUCCUUUGCUUCCCCUCUUUGAAGCCCUUGUAACGCUUCAAUCUGAAACAGAGACAUGUUAGCUAGUUAUGGAAAACAUUAAGACUGCAAUUACUGCAGCUUCAAAAGAGUUUACAGAAUUUUAUUUCGUUUCAAAGACACAUCAAACGUAAAUUCUCUUAAUUUUUCACCAAAUGCAAUAAAAAUUAAUUAACAAAAGAGAUUUGUCCUAAUAAUAAAUAAAAUGUAAGCUAGUUGUACAAAUAAGAUGAAAUAAAUCUAUGCUAAUUUAAGAAAUAACAGAAGAUCAUUAACAAAACAAGCCCAACCAAACCAACCAAAAACACUUAGAGGAAGUAUAUAUGUAGAUUCACCGAGAAAUAAAAUGGAUUGUGGCAUCUGGUUAUUUAGCACAAAUUAUGGCUUAAGAUAGAUUAAGUAACCAGUGGUAAGGAUUGCAUCUCUUCAAAAAAAUUUAAGGCCACAUUAGCUUGAAGUAACAAAGAACAAGUUGUAUCGCGAAGACGGCAAUCCUAUCUUGAUACAUUACAGUUCUGUUGUGGAGUGAGUAGACCACUAGAUUGAUUAAUCAUACCUUUGGAAUCCAAAUUUUGGAUGACAUAAAAGACUUGAAUUUGGGAGAAUAAUAUCCCUACCAUUAUAAAUCCUUAAAAUGUGAACUGAGCAACCAAAUUGGGUAGAAGUCUAAAUAAGAAUUCAGUAAUAUUUCAAACUAUUCAGACCAAUUGAAUUUAAAAGAUAAAGAAUAGCCCAAAAUUAGAAGCCCAAACACCUGACUGAACAACCUGAAAUGGAAACUUACACAAAAUUUUCUGUAUUAUUUUGAAAAGAACAGGGAUAAGAACAGAAUCCAAAUUUUACAAAGGAAGAGGAACUUGAAAACUGUCAGCAGUUUAAACUUCUGAACCAUCUGUAAGGGUAAUGAAAUAAGGAAUUUUUGUCGGAGAUAAGUUUGAGAAAAGGAAAGCAUUACCAACAAUACUAUCUGAAGCCCUAUCAACACAUUAACUAAUGACAUUUUGUGACUUUCACUGAUCCAUAUCAGAUAAAAGCCAGAAAAAUUCUGAUGGUGACCACAAAAAAAUCACUGAAAAACUGAUUGACGGUCAUGAAUACUACAAAGACUGGAUAUGGAUGGAUUGACCAGAAAACAUACAAAACAGCCGCCAACAGUUGUACAGACAGUGGCCAGAGCUAUCCGGCGGUGGCUGAUACUAUACAACAGCAGCCAGAUAAGACUGGAAACUAAAAGUUAUUGCAACACAGCACAAAAGAGGAAAAUGGAGAGCAAGAUCUAGCUUGCUCUCAUACCAACUUCAGAACUUGAUAAUAAACUAUUAAGAGAUUUCUGAGUGCUGUAAUGAGUAACACACUCAGCAAGAGCUAAUAUUUAUAUUGUACACAGCAAGUAUAAUUAACAUUUAACAAGAGGAAUUAUAACUAGCAUUAAGUUUUAAAGUUCAAAGAAUCUAAGAAUGCAAUCCAGACGGUGGCUAAUACUAUCCGACAGUGGCCAGAUAAGACUGGAAACUACAAUUUAUUGCGACACAGAACAAAAGAGGAGAGCAAGACCGAAUUUGAUAAUAAGUAUAAUAAAGAUUUCUGAAUAGUUUAACGAGUAACACACUCAGCAAGAGCAAAUAUUUAUAUAGUACAUGAUAAAUACAAUUAACAAGAAGAGGAAUUAUAACUAACACUAACUUUUAAAGUUCAAAGAAUCUAAAAAUGGAAUGAAGCCUAUGAUAUUAUGAAUUCUAAUUGAAAUUGGAAAGUGGAACAUUGAUUAUACUCUAUUUUCGGUACGGAUAAGAUUUCAAUCUAGAGUCCUAGAAUAGUAGUUUUCUUAAGGGAUUGCUGCAAGUGCAAGACACCAAUAUAAAAAACAAUAUUUUGGUGCACCAGCUUUCAAAACUACCCAAGAGAUUACCUAGCAUCAUAGGAACCAAGGGAAUAUUUGGUUUUAACCCCAUAUUUACCAAUGCAAAAAAACAUACUCAAGAAUGAAAAGGAAGAGAAAAGAAACACUGGAAGAACAUAACAAACUGUCUUACAAACAUUCUAAAAAAUUGUGAUUAGUAACAGGAAUAUGCUUUAAUUGACUGACAAACAUGCAAAACAUCUUAAUGUCUCAAUGUUAGCAAAUCCUAAAUCAGCUUAAAGAAUUAAGAUUACACAAGACUAAGUAUAUACCAUCAAUUUCAAAAGACCUAAUAAAUACCUUUCUUCCUGUGACAUUCCAGAAUGUAUGCAUAUUGAUGGGAAGUUGCACUCAACAAGCAACUUGUUCAAUUCUGCCGCUCUGCUAACACUUUUGACAAAAAUGACAACUUGGUUGAAGUCAAGAGCAUCAAGAAGGUCAUUCAGCUUACGAUUUUUCUCUGGCUCUUGUAAUUUGAUGUAGUGCUGAAAAAGGUGACAAAUGAGUAAAAUUAGUAGACGAGAAGAUAUCAACAAGAACACGGAAUAAACAAAGUCCACAAACACACCUGAACAAGACCAUGAAGAGUCAAUUUGGCCUCGUCAUCUACAUAUAUUUCCAUGGGCUGGAAGAAAAAAAUUUAUGAAUGAGAAGAUAAACAAUGAUAUAAAAAAUUGGUUAUUUUGAUCUAUAAAACAGAAUACUUGCAAAUUAAUACUAAAUAGGAUAAAUAGUCAAAACAAAACAGAAAUCUGACCAUAAAAUAAACAAAAUGAUUUAAAACAAAAGAAUUGAUGACAUUCAACUAAAAGCGCAAUAAUUUGAAAUGAAAAUAAUAACAAUGUGAACAAUAAGAGGAACAAUGAAACUGCCCUCCCAUAUACAGUCUAAAAAUCACCACAUAAAUAGAAUAUUACAUCUUGCAUAAACUUCUUGCAAACAGGUCGAAUCUCUUUGCUGAGUGUAGCUGAAAACAUCAUCACUUGUUUAUCAUGAGGAGUCAAUUUGAAAAUCUCUUGCACGUCUCUUCUCAUGUCUGCAAAGGUCAAAUGGCAGAUAUAUUAAGAAACAAAAAAAAAAGCAGAAUUAGAUUAGAAAUGCAUUUGCAAAUUCAGCAUGACAGUCAAAUUAAAGGGAAAAGGAGGAAGAAAUAGACCUAGUGAUUCCAGCAUCUUGUCACACUCAUCAAGUAUAAAAUGCCUCACAUUCUUCAAACCAAGGUCCUUAUCUCUAGUCAGGGCAAGAAUCCUCCCAGGUGUUCCAACAACAAUGUGGGGACACUCGUUCUUGAGCAAUUCUUUGUGAACCUUGAUGUUGACACCACCAUAGAAAACAGCAACUUUUAUAUCUGAAAGAUAUGUGCUGAACCUCUCCACUUCGUGGCAAAUCUAGACAAAUCCAAAAACACAAAUAAAGCACUUUCUAAGUAUGGACAUGUGCACAUAUAUGUUUGUGAUAAUGUGUGUUGGAAACACCAGUAGUUCUCUAGCAAAACGUUCUAGAUAUAUUACAUCCAAACUAAUGAAGACAUACCUGAUAAGCUAGUUCUCUUGUGUGGCAAAGAACAAGUGCUGCAACUUGACCAGGAACAGGAUCAAUUUGCUGAAGUGUUGACAGAACAAAAACAGCAGUCUUUCCCAUGCCAGAUUUUGCUUGGCAGAUGACAUCCAUUCCCAAAAUUGCUUGAGGGAUGCAUUCGUGUUGCACUAAUGAAGAAGCAAAGAAAAUUGUAGUGGACGAAUCCUCAGUAAGUAUAUAUGAUCUGCCAGAUCCUUUUAAUGUAAAGGUUUACCAACCAAUUUUUGAGAUGUAUUCAUAAUAUGCUAGUAGUGAUUACCUGAUUAAUUCAAAGGAAAAAGAUUAGAGGAUAGUGAACAAUAAUAAUGAAACAAAAACAAGAUACAUGAGAACUAACAGGUGAAAAUGUGAAAUUCAUAUUCACUGGAAUGGAAUAGCAAUAAGUUAUAGGAAUUGAGAUAAAAGGACUAUAUCAUACAAUGAUCAAUAAGUCACCCCCAAAAAGAAAAAGAGACAGCCUAAAGAAAUCACUGAAAAUCUUGUUCAAAGAAAUUGACUAUUAGAGACGAAAGAAUAGGGACCUAGGGAACUAAAGAUUGUAUUUGAAUUUAUACACAGAUGAGAGUGAGGAAGAGAGUUAGUGAAUUGUGGGUUGACCAAUUGAAAAAGUUAAGAAAGGGAAUUCCCUUGGCAGAGUUAAUAGACUGUGUUAUGUAGUUCUUUUCUGUUCUUGUGUCAGAUGUUCGUUUAACCACAUUGAUUAGAAAGAUUCAAUCAUGACAUUGUGUAAAAUAUAUCGAGAAUGGUUAACAGAAAGUAGAAAAUACUGCCAUCAAUAUAAAAAAAUGAUAUUUAAUAAAAGCCCAAAACAUGAGAAGUCCUUAGAAUUUGUUUGACUCUUUGCCUAUACUGAGCAAUGUAAUGACAUCAUAUAGUAAAACUUGCCUUCUGAAGGAUGCUCAAAUCCCGAAUCUACUAUGGCUCGAAGAAGCUCUGGUUUCAACAGGAAGUCUCGAAAUCCCGAACUAUGGAUCCCAACGUAACCCCUGCACCACAAAAGAAAAUGAAUACAGUGAGGAAGAGAAACUCGAGAAGUGGCCUUGGAACGCUAAUAUUGUUUUAAAAAGAAGAUUACACCAAUCUAACAGGAUAGUGGAGAUCGCUAGCCCAAAGAUUAUAAAUACAAGAUACAUAUGCUAUAAUAUAUAAUAUAUGUAAUUUUGAUACACAGGAAGAAAAAAAACAGAGAGCAAAUAAAUUUGAUGCUCGAAAUUGAAGCACAGCUUGCAGGAAAUCACAAGAGUUAAAGCUGAUGGGAACUAGGUACACAUGACAGAAAUGAAAGAGGAAACAGACUUGAAGACCGUACAGCCAAAAGUGGAAGGUGGAAAUUUUGUACAGCCAUAGGCCACUGGUUCACACUAUUAAUAAUUGUAUGUCGCAAUUCAGAAAUAAGAUUUGUUUUUACUGCUUACCAUACAUUAUCCCAUUGUACCAUGCUUAAACCAUAUUUAAUUAUGAAGUGCAUAAUAGACAUUAGUUCUCCAGCCAAAACCAGUACAAUAAUUACUUCAAAAAUAAUAUAACAAAAUAAAGAAAAUAGUUAAAUCACCAUAGGAACCAAAUUUAUUGUAGUUAAAAAACAUAUAGAUUCACUGCAAUUCACAAACAACAGCCAACAGAUAAAGAUCUGACAGCUAAUAUUCAAAGUUCAUCGUACUACUUGGAAUCAAAUUUACUAAAGCCAAGCAUAAGUCAUCGGAUCUUCACCCAAUAACUCAAAUUGAAGCAAAAUCUUUACUAAAUUCACUAUUAAAUUUUUAAUGCAGGAAAAACAGGUCUAUCAUCAUAUUCAUAAUUCAUCUACAACUCUUUAAAACAGAACCAGUUAAAUUCGAUUAAAGUAAAAUAAGAACUACUAUUACAACUACUACUUCCAUAUGAAUAUAUGAUACAUGUAUGUAGUAAAACAAAAAAUAUAUAUCAAAUUAUUACAUACCAGCAUAUAUACAAAAAAUAAUAAUUAGAUUACAUAAGAGCGAAAAGAAACUAACUUCUUGACGGUUUCGGUAGUAGGUUUAGCAGAAUCAAGGGCCUUUUCAUCCUCCUCUUCAUAGUCGAUGAGCUCUUCCUCGUAAACCUCAGUUUCUUUCAAUUCACCCAUUUUCUUUGUUUUCUGCAAGUUAAGGUUAAGGUUAGGGUUUUCAGUUUCAAUAAGUGAGAAUUGAAGAGAAGAGAGUGUAGAAUUCAUUGAAUACAUAGAGAUAUAGAGAAAGAGAAAGUAGAAGCUAACCUUUGAAAGCGCAAAGAACCAGCGGCUUCUUCUUCUCGGAAAUGAAAACCCUAGAUCUGAUUUCUGGGUUUUAGGAAAUGAAAUGGAGCAACAGAGAAUGAAGCUGUGAGCGGAAACAAAUAGUGCGUGCGAUUUGUUUGAUGGACGGAAAUGCCCUUUAAAUUUUACUUGACGUGAGCAUGCACGACAUUCUUAAAAUUGCUCACAAGGGUGGUUUCUUUUUUUCUUAACACACAACCUUGGAAUUUUUAUUUUUUUAAUUUAGCAAAAUUUCAUUGUAAGUACUAUGUUUUAGAUUUUUUUUUUAAAACUAAAGUACAUUUUUAGAUGAUUUAUGAAGUUUUAGAGAUAUUUUUUCUAAGUAGAAGUUUAUGAUUAGUCCUCCCUUAAAAAAAUAUAAUAUAAUCUAUUAUCAAUCCUUAAAAAUUUCAUUGUCUGUUUUGCUCUUUCUUUUAUUUCUAUUUACACUAUAAUUUGGAUAAAUUAAUAAUUAACAAACAUCAUAAUUAAAAUUUAAUCAAACAUCUCUUUGUAUGUCAGAUAUCAAAUAAUCAUUGAUUACCUCAAAUAAAAGAAUUUUUUCAUCAUUCCUCACUUUUCUCUUUUUCGUUUUCUCUCUCCCAUUUUCUCUGUUUUCUUUCCAUAAACCCUAAUCCCCCGUCUCUCGUGUUUUCUAUCAUCUCUUUUUUCCCUCAACCUUACAACACUGUCGUCCCCAUUUCUCCCUCGUCUAUGUUUCUCCUUCCCCUGCUACUCUCGAUAGGUAUGUUUUUCCCUAUUUUAUUAUUCUUUCAUUCAUGUCUUCUUCAAUCUCUAUUGCAGUCAAAUUUCGUCAUGUUUCGGUUUCCAAAUCUUUGUUUCUAUGUUCCUCUAUUUUUCUACAUUUCUCUUCUAAAACAUGUUUUCAUUUUCAACGCCUUUUCUGUAUAUAGUUUCUGCAACUGGAUAAUGAUCGUGUUUUUCAAUGUUGAUCUCCGACGUCGAGUAUAUGAAGAUUCACAAAAGUAUUGUUGUGUGAAAACGUGUAUUAUGGCUCUAAGCAAUUCAGACGAAGUACACCACAGAUCUGUUGAAGACACCAAAAACACAGAUGAUACGAUGGAUAAGGAAAAUAGAUCUUGUGAAAAAUAGGGUUUUAUAUUCAAGGUGAGUGUCUGUUUCCUUUGUAUUCCUAAUUUUAAAGGUUUUAUGUGUUUUUCAUCAUUUGCAUUAAUUUGCUUAUGUGGUUUUCAUAGUGAUUGUCCAUUAAAAUAUGUUUUUUUAUAUGUGUUUUUCAUCUAAUUAUUUGUUGGAGCCUACACAUUUUGUUUUAGAAGGGACUCAAUUGUAUAAUUAAUAAAUUUGAUAUUAGUUGUGUAUAGAUCCUUACCAAAUUUGGAACUGGUGCGGAAAGUUCUUUAUUGUUGAUUUUACUAGUAAAAUAUUGAUCAGUGCAUUUUUAUGCACUUUCUUCUACUAUUGUACUUAGACAAAUAUAUAGUUUAUUCUAUUAUUUUUACUAUUUUAGUGUGUUUUUAUAUUUAAGUCUAUUUUUGGCUUUAUUUUAUUUUCGGACUUUAUUUUUAGCAUAAAUAGUUAUUUGAUAUCUUAUCACUAUGAAGAUCAUAAUUUGAGCUACGGGAAUCGGAUUAACGCGUUCUAAUAGGCGUUGGAAAUCUGAGUUACUUAGGCAAAUCUAUAAUUUAUUCUAUUAUUUUUACUAUUUUAGUGUGUUUUUAUAUUUAAGUUUAUUUUUGGUUUUAUUUUAUUUUCAGCAUAAAUAGUUAUUUGAUAUCUUAUCACUGUGAAGAUCAUAAUUUGAGCUACGAGAAUCGGAUUAACGCAUUCUAGUAGGUGUUGGAAAUCUAAGAGGUUAAGCUAAAAGUUUCAUGUUUAAGUCAGAAGUUGAUUCAAAGUGAAGAAGGGUUGAAUAAUUCGUUUUAGUUCCAGACUUAAGAAAAUACUUAGUAUUUGGGGCGGUUUUGUAUUUUUUUCGGGUCGGUUGCUAUUAGGCUCAAAUUCCCUUGCUCUAUUUAAACAACUUAGUAGUUUUAGGAUUGAGAGAUUUAGUAGAUAGUUUAUUUGUUGUAUUCGAAUUCAACUUUGAGGUUUUUAUUAAUUUCAGUUUAAUUUCGAUUUCUUUUCAAUUCUUCCUAUAAACUUGUUUGCUUAAUUCGAUUACUUUCGUUUGCUUAAUUCAAUUGUUUCUUAUAGGAUAAAGUUGAUUAAAUUUGAUUGUAUGUAUGAUCCUUAACUAUAAUCACGUUAGCGUACCUUUUUCGUUAUCGUAUUUGAUUAAGUUGUGUUUGUUUAAUUUGUGUCUGCUUAAAU
RNAcentral lists this long non-coding RNA (26283 nucleotides) under Lathyrus oleraceus (garden pea). Its description in RNAcentral is "Pisum sativum (pea) long non-coding RNA (PSAT_LNC032431)". The record is from RNAcentral. Lineage: Eukaryota; Viridiplantae; Streptophyta; Magnoliopsida; Fabales; Fabaceae.